CCUACGGGUGGCAGCAGUAGGGAAUCUUUCACAAUGGGCGAAAGCCUGAUGGAGCAAUGCCGCGUGAAUGAAGACGGUCUUAUAGAUUGUAAAAUUCUUUUAUUGGGGAAGAAAAACUAAAGUAGGAAAUGACUUUAGUCUGACUGUACGAUUUGAAUAAGUAUAGGCUAAGUAUGUGCCAGCAGCAGCGGUAAUACAGAGGAUGCAAGCGUUAUCCGGAUUUACUGGGCGUAAAGCGAGCGGAGGCGGGUUAUCAAGUUUGGUAUGAAAGGCUUUUGCUUAACGUAAGUUUGUAUCAAAAACUGUUAAUCUAGAGUGUAGUAGAGAGAUCUGGAAUUCCAUGUGGAGCGGUGGAAUGCGUAGAUAUAUGGAAGAACACCAGUGGCGAAGGCGAGAACUCAGGCUUUCACUGACGCUUAGGCUCGAAAGUGUGGGGAGCAAAUAGGAUUAGAUACCCUAGUAGUC
Molecule: ribosomal RNA, 465 nt
Filed under: uncultured bacterium
Lineage: Bacteria
Description: partial 16S ribosomal RNA
Rfam family: Bacterial small subunit ribosomal RNA
Source: RNAcentral